UCUCCGUUGGUGAACCAGCGGAGGGAUCAUUACCGAGUUUACAACUCCCAAACCCCUGUGAACAUACCUUACUGUUGCCUCGGCGGAUCAGCCCGCUCCCGGUAAAACGGGACGGCCCGCCAGAGGACCCCUAAACUCUGUUUUUGUACCAUCUGAGUCUUCCACAAAUAAACAAAACUUUCAACAACGGAUCUCUUGGUUCUG
RNAcentral lists this unclassified non-coding RNA (204 nucleotides) under root metagenome. RNAcentral describes it as "partial contains small subunit ribosomal RNA, internal transcribed spacer 1, and 5.8S ribosomal RNA". The record is from RNAcentral.